Molecule: ribosomal RNA, 404 nt
Filed under: Fusobacteriota bacterium
Lineage: Bacteria; Fusobacteriati; Fusobacteriota
Description: Fusobacteria bacterium partial 16S ribosomal RNA
Rfam family: Bacterial small subunit ribosomal RNA
Source: RNAcentral
UGGGGAAUAUUGCACAAUGGAGGGAACUCUGAUGCAGCGACGCCGCGUGAGUGAUGAAGGAAUUCGUUUCGUAAAACUCUGUUCUAUGGGAAGAAAAGGACUGUACCAUAGGAGAAAGCUCCGGCUAAAUACGUGCCAGCAGCCGCGGUAAUACGUAUGGAGCGAGCGUUGUCCGGAAUUAUUGGGCGUAAAGGGUGCGCAGGCGGCUUUACAAGUUGGAUGUGAAAUAUUGUGGCUCAACCACAAACGUGCAUCCAAAACUGCAAAGCUUGAGUUAAGGAGAGGUAAGUGGAAUUCCUGGUGUAGCGGUGGAAUGCGUAGAUAUCAGGAGGAAUACCGGUAGCGAAGGCGACUUACUGGACUUAAACUGACGCUCAAGCACGAAAGCGUGGGGAGCAAACAGG